AUGGAGGAAAUCCCUGCCCUGAAUUCCCGACCCAAGCUGAUCUCGAUGGGCUUUUCCUCCGUUCUGAGACUGGAAAACAUCCAUCUCCCAUGGUCAUGUGCUGAGAGAUUGCUGUCAUCAGCAGAUACGAGUAUUGCUUUAGGCCAGCUGACCACUACCCCAGCCCCGAUUGCAUCAACCCCACUGCCUCCCAGUGCCACCACGACCUCUGCCUCCACACCCCCAGCUGCUGGGGGGGUGGCCACCACCGCAGACCUCGGCACGGCCACAGCUGUGCCAUCGGCAGACCCCAGCACAAACACAUUUGCUCCAGCUCUGCCCACCACCCUGCCGGUGACUGCGACCAUCCCUGGGAUCACGACCACCUCUCACGCACCCACAGCCGCAUCCACCGGUGCCUCGGCCACCCCUCCAGAUGUCACCACGUCUCCUGGGGAUCCACCAACAGCUCCGUCCCUCACCACCGCUGUGCCCUCCAACUGCAGCAGAGUGAACGUGACAGCGUGUGCCCCUUGCUCCCCAGGGACGUUUCCCAAUGAUGAUGCCUGGAGUUGCUCGUGCUGCACAGGAGGCUCGUGCACGGACCCUGGUGCCUGCACUCCCUGCCCAGUGGGGCACUACCAGCCCGCGUGGGGACAGCAGCAGUGCCUGCCGUGUCCGCGGGGACACUACGCCAACACCACGAGGAGCACCGCGUGCUCGCCCUGCCCACC
This 713-nucleotide long non-coding RNA is filed under the name Anas platyrhynchos platyrhynchos (common mallard). RNAcentral's name for it is "lncRNA (ENSAPLG00000023331.1)". The record is from RNAcentral. Lineage: Eukaryota; Metazoa; Chordata; Aves; Anseriformes; Anatidae.